AUUGAACGCUGGCGGAAUGCUUUACACAUGCAAGUCGAACGGCAGCACGGGGCAACCUGGUGGCGAGUGGCGAACGGGUGAGUAAUACAUCGGAACGUGCCCAAUCGUGGGGGAUAACGUAGCGAAAGUUACGCUAAUACCGCAUACGAUCUACGGAUGAAAGCGGGGGAUCGCAAGACCUCGCGCGAGUGGAGCGGCCGAUGUCAGAUUAGGUAGUUGGUGGGGUAAAGGCUCACCAAGCCAACGAUCUGUAGCUGGUCUGAGAGGACGACCAGCCACACUGGAACUGAGACACGGUCCAGACUCCUACGGGAGGCAGCAGUGGGGAAUUUUGGACAAUGGGCGCAAGCCUGAUCCAGCCAUUCCGCGUGCAGGAUGAAGGCCUUCGGUUGUAACUGCUUUUGUACGGUAACGAAACGGCGAGCUCUAAUACAGUUUGCUAAUGACGGUACCGUAAGAAUAAGACACCGGCUAACUACGUAGCCAGCAGCCGCGGUAAU
RNAcentral lists this ribosomal RNA (500 nucleotides) under uncultured bacterium. Its description in RNAcentral is "bacterial SSU rRNA". It matches the Rfam family "Bacterial small subunit ribosomal RNA", at positions 30 to 524 of the family's 1533-position model. The record is from RNAcentral.